Molecule: ribosomal RNA, 363 nt
Filed under: uncultured bacterium
Lineage: Bacteria
Description: bacterial SSU rRNA
Rfam family: Bacterial small subunit ribosomal RNA
Source: RNAcentral
GACGAACGCUGGCGGCGUGCUUAAUACAUGCAAGUCGAGCGAGGUCCAUCUGGUGGCAACACCAGUGAAGGCCGAGCGGCGAACGGGUGAGUAACACGUGAGCAACCUGCCCCGAAGUCUGGAAUAACAUCGGGAAACCGGUGCUAAUACCGGAUCGCCCCACCUGACCGCAUGAUCGGGUGAGGAAAGAUUUAUCGCUUCGGGAGGGGCUCGCGGCCUAUCAGCAGUUGGUGGGGUAACGGCCUACCAAGGCGUCGACGGGUAGCUGGUCUGAGAGGACGACCAGCCACACUGGGACUGAGACACGGCCCAGACUCCUACGGGAGGCAGCAGUAGGGAAUCUUGCGCAAUGGGCGAAAGCCU